Molecule: ribosomal RNA, 427 nt
Filed under: uncultured bacterium
Lineage: Bacteria
Description: bacterial SSU rRNA
Rfam family: Bacterial small subunit ribosomal RNA
Source: RNAcentral
UGGGGAAUUUUGGACAAUGGACGCAAGUCUGAUCCAGCCAUGCCGCGUGCGGGAAGAAGGCCUUCGGGUUGUAAACCGCUUUUGUCAGGGAAGAAACGGUGAAAGCUAAUAUCUUUUGCUAAUGACGGUACCUGAAGAAUAAGCACCGGCUAACUACGUGCCAGCAGCCGCGGUAAUACGUAGGGUGCAAGCGUUAAUCGGAAUUACUGGGCGUAAAGCGUGCGCAGGCGGUUAUGCAAGACAGAGGUGAAAUCCCCGGGCUCAACCUGGGAACUGCAUUUGUGACUGUAUAGCUAGAGUACGGUAGAGGGGGAUGGAAUUCCGCGUGUAGCAGUGAAAUGCGUAGAUAUGCGGAGGAACACCGAUGGCGAAGGCAAUCCCCUGGACCUGUACUGACGCUCAUGCACGAAAGCGUGGGGAGCAAACA